RNAcentral lists this transfer RNA (74 nucleotides) under Planctomycetota bacterium. Its description in RNAcentral is "Planctomycetes bacterium (mine drainage metagenome) tRNA-Arg". It matches the Rfam family "tRNA". From Rfam's summary of the family: Transfer RNA (tRNA) molecules are approximately 80 nucleotides in length. Their secondary structure includes four short double-helical elements and three loops (D, anti-codon, and T loops). Lineage: Bacteria; Pseudomonadati; Planctomycetota. The record is from RNAcentral.
GCCCCGGUAGCUCAGUUGGAUAGAGCAGCGCUUUCCUAAAGCGCAGGUCGGUGGUUCGACUCCACUCCGGGGUG